Molecule: ribosomal RNA, 329 nt
Filed under: uncultured eukaryote
Lineage: Eukaryota
Description: partial 18S ribosomal RNA
Rfam family: Eukaryotic small subunit ribosomal RNA
Source: RNAcentral
CCCUUAGAUGUUCUGGGCCGCACGCGCGCUACACUGAUGCACUCAACGAGUCUCCACCUUGACCGAGAGGUCCGGGAAACCUUCGAACUUGCAUCGUGAUGGGGAUAGAUUAUUGCAACUAUUAAUCUUCAACGAGGAAUACCUAGUAGGCGCAUGUCAUCAGCGUGCGUCGAUUACGUCCCUGCCCUUUGUACACACCGCCCGUCGCUCCUACCGAUUGAAGUUUUCGGUGAGUUGACAGGAGGAUUUUUUUGAAACUGGUUCGCCAGUGGAUUUUAGAUCCAAAUGCCAACGAAUCGAUGGCUUUAGAGGAAGGAGAAGUCGUAACA